Cricetulus griseus (Chinese hamster) is the source of this 664-nucleotide non-coding RNA. Lineage: Eukaryota; Metazoa; Chordata; Mammalia; Rodentia; Cricetidae. The record is from RefSeq and is a predicted model, not a curated record.
CAAAGAAACAGGAAUUGACAUUCGGAGAAAAAGAAAUAUGAAGAGUCACACCCCGAGUCUUGUAAAUGAGCUCAGGAAAUGAGAAGGGAGGGAAAGCCCCUGGGGCUGGUGGCCUGUGCUCCUGUCACUGCAGACAUCUGGGUUUUAAUGACAUGAUAUGGUCUCCGUGAGUCUCACUACCUCCCAGCUAAAAUGACAGCCGUUGGCCAGGAUCGAAGCUUCCAGCCCUUCACUGGGACACCUGCUCUGCAAGAACCUACUCUGUUGUCAUCGUUAAAUGCUUGGCAUUUCCUUACCUGAUUCAGAGACAGGAAGGUAUUCGAUGAUUCCUUCGUUUGCAGCACCUCAGAACUGAGGGGGAGGGGUGUUAUUUGGAAAGCCUCUUUGAAAGGAGAGCUCUGUCUCUCUUCACAAUCAACGCAUUGUGGAGAGAUGGUGUGCCUGUGAUUCCACUCCUCUGACUGGAAUGUGGAAAGGAUGCCUGGCUGUGGGAAUGAGAUUAGAAAAACUAGAAGAGCAUUUCAAAGAGACAGAUGAGUGAAAGGUAGAAAACAUUCAGUCCUUGGCUUAUAACAACCACAUGUCAAAUAUCCCCUGUUAUCAACUCAAAAUAAAACUGUAUAUAAAUGUUAAAUCUAAAGUAUAAAAAUCCUAAAAGACCCUG